This is a long non-coding RNA of Camelus dromedarius (Arabian camel), 851 nucleotides long. RefSeq lists it as uncharacterized. The record is from RefSeq and is a predicted model, not a curated record. Lineage: Eukaryota; Metazoa; Chordata; Mammalia; Artiodactyla; Camelidae. The transcript is spliced from 4 exons.
UGGAAACGGUCUGGAACACUGGAUUCAUUCACUGUUGUGGGAACCCAAGGAUGAAAGGAAGGUCCCCAGGGGAGGCAGCCCAGGAUCCUCAUGGAAGCCCAUCAGGAGAUGAGACAAGAGCAGAUGGGGGGCCCCGGGGCUGUCAAGCAGGGCUGAAAUUCCUUAUAAGAUCAAACUCCUUCUUUGAAGCCAGUUAUGCCGCGAAGAACCAGAGUGUGUGUACAGAUGGGCCCAGUCAUCACCCUGAUGACCACCAGCCUCAGGCUCUGCUCAAGUUUUCUCUGGAUAAACGCCCAGGAGUGGGAUUGCUGAAUCAUGUGUGUGGUAACUCUGAGUGACGAGGAUGACAGAGAAUACUGUGGGAGUCAGAGCUGAUGAGUUUCAGGAAAUGCAGAGAAUAAAGGAACAACUGAAGUGACGUCACAAGGAAACAAUCAGCAUAUGUCUAAACAGACAGGACAGUCAUCAAGACACUGGUCUGGCUACUUCAAAUCAAUGUCAGUAGAAACACAAAAAUAACAAACAAAUAGACCAAUGUUUCUUCUAGAUUAAAGACACUUAAGACACAUAACAACCAAAUGGAAUUCUUGGUCCUCUAUUGGAUUCUGGUCUGAACAAUCCAUCUAAAGACGUCAUUUGGGGGAGAGUGAAAGAAAUUUGAGUAAAGACAAGGUAUUUGUUCAUUUUCUUAAAUACUGUUGGCUAUUCAGGAAAAUAUGUUUUGAAGAGAUACCUAUUGAAGGGUGAAAAUAUUUUAUUAGCUUUUUUGAUUUUGUUACUUUAAAAUACCUAAGCAGAAAAAAAUAGAUGAAACAAAUAUGGCAAAAUGUCAAAAGUAUUCAGUCUGAGUG